This 87-nucleotide ribosomal RNA is filed under the name Odontolejeunea lunulata. RNAcentral describes it as "partial 5.8S ribosomal RNA". It matches the Rfam family "5.8S ribosomal RNA", at positions 69 to 154 of the family's 154-position model. From Rfam's summary of the family: 5.8S ribosomal RNA (5.8S rRNA) is a component of the large subunit of the eukaryotic ribosome. It is transcribed by RNA polymerase I as part of the 45S precursor that also contains 18S and 28S rRNA. The record is from RNAcentral. Lineage: Eukaryota; Viridiplantae; Streptophyta; Jungermanniopsida; Porellales; Lejeuneaceae.
GAAUUGCAGAAUUCCGCGAAUCAUCGAGUUUUUGAACGCAAGUUGCGCCCGAGGCUUGUCCCAAGGGCAUGUCUGCCUGAGCGUCCU